Molecule: transfer RNA, 74 nt
Filed under: Escherichia coli
Lineage: Bacteria; Pseudomonadati; Pseudomonadota; Gammaproteobacteria; Enterobacterales; Enterobacteriaceae
Description: tRNA-Arg
Rfam family: tRNA
About the family: Transfer RNA (tRNA) molecules are approximately 80 nucleotides in length. Their secondary structure includes four short double-helical elements and three loops (D, anti-codon, and T loops).
Source: RNAcentral
CCGCCACUAGCUCAUCAGGACAGAGCAUCAGCCUUCUAAGCUGACGGUGCGGGGUUCGAGUCCUCGGUGGCGGA